Molecule: ribosomal RNA, 392 nt
Filed under: uncultured bacterium
Lineage: Bacteria
Description: bacterial SSU rRNA
Rfam family: Bacterial small subunit ribosomal RNA
Source: RNAcentral
AUUGAACGCUGGCGGCAUGCCUUACACAUGCAAGUCGAACGGCAGCACGGGAGCAAUCCUGGUGGCGAGUGGCGAACGGGUGAGUAAUGUAUCGGAACGUACCUUUCAGUGGGGGAUAACGUAGCGAAAGUUACGCUAAUACCGCAUAUUCUGUGAGCAGGAAAGCAGGGGAUCGCAAGACCUUGCGCUGAUUGAGCGGCCGAUAUCAGAUUAGCUAGUUGGUGAGGUAAAGGCUCACCAAGGCGACGAUCUGUAGCGGGUCUGAGAGGAUGAUCCGCCACACUGGAACUGAGACACGGUCCAGACUCCUACGGGAGGCAGCAGUGGGGAAUAUUGGACAAUGGGCGCAAGCCUGAUCCAGCCAUGCCGCGUGUGUGAAGAAGGCCUCGGUU